This is a non-coding RNA of Coffea arabica (coffee), 3766 nucleotides long. The record is from RefSeq and is a predicted model, not a curated record. NCBI's taxonomy places the organism in Eukaryota, Viridiplantae, Streptophyta, Magnoliopsida, Gentianales, Rubiaceae.
CUUGAAAUUGAUUCUUUACUGCCACAAAACUAAUCUUUAUACCCACACAUAAGAAGUAUUAACAGAUGUGCAGUAGUAUGAUUAGUUAGUAGUAUAUAUAAUGCAAAAGACGGUAUAGCCUCAACUCAACAACCCAUUCCCACCACCCACCUCUUAUUCAGUUAAUGGAACAAUAACAAACAGAGCAAAAAGAGCAGCAAAGCUUUAAAGGGCUUUGUAAAAGUUCAAUCUUUCUUGCAUUUCUCAUACCCCUUUUCCAAACACUGAGAAGGGUAUCUUCCUUUUCUUUCAUUGCUGCUGAUCAGUAAUGGACCGUGCAAGAAAGCUUGCCAACAGGGCCAUUCUGAAACGGCUGGUUUCAGAAGCAAAGCAGCGUAGAGGCAAUGGAGAAGCCAAUGAAUUGUUGUCAGCUCCUUCACCAUUUUAUAGGCCUUCAAGGUAUGUUUCCUCGCUGUCUCCUUGUUCGUUCCAAGGUCAAUAUCAAAGGACUUAUGUCAAUCCGAAAAAAAAUGCAUUUUUGCAUUCUGGGAUUGGCCAAGUUCGAUUUGUUUCUGUUGAGGCACUGAAACCAAGUGAUACAUUUCCACGCCGCCAUAACUCUGCAACCCCUGAAGAACAAAUCAAAAUGGUUGAGAAUUGUGGAUUCCCCAGUCUUGAUUCGCUUAUUGACGCCACUGUGCCUAAAUCUAUCAGGCUUGAUGGUAUGACGUUUAGUAAGUUUGAUGGGAUUAACUGAGGCUCAAAUGAUUGAUCACAUGCAAAAGUUAGCAUCUAAGAACAAAGUUUUUAAGUCAUAUAUUGGAAUGGGAUACUAUAAUACCUUUGUUCCGCCUGUUAUUUUGAGGAAUCUCCUGGAAAAUCCUGCUUGGUAUACUCAGUAUACUCCCUAUCAGGCUGAGAUUUCGCAGGGACGUCUUGAAUCCCUGCUGAAUUAUCAGACCAUGAUUGCGGAUCUUACUGGAUUGCCUAUGUCUAAUGCAUCUUUACUAGAUGAAGGAACUGCUGCAGCUGAGGCUAUGGCUAUGUGUAAUAACAUCCAGAAAGGAAAAAAAGAAAACUUUUAUCAUUGCUACUAAUUGUCAUCCGCAGACUAUUGAUGUUUGUAAGACUAGGGCUGAAGGUUUUGAUCUCAAACUGGUUGUCUCCGAUAUUAAGGAUAUUGAUUACAAGUCUGGGGAUGUUUGUGGGGUUUUAAUACAGUAUCCUGGCACUGAGGGUGAGGUUGUGGAUUAUGAGGGGUUUGUUAAGAAUGCUCAUGCUAAUGGUGUGAAGGUUGUCAUGGCAUCCGAUCUUUUGGCUUUGACAGUGUUGAAGCCUCCUGGCGAAUUUGAUGCUGAUAUUGUUGUUGGCUCAGCUCAGAGGUUUGGUGUCCCAAUGGGAUAUGGUGGUCCUCAUGCAGCUUUCCUAGCUACGUCCCAAGAGUACAAGAGGAUGAUGCCUGGAAGAAUUAUUGGUGUCAGUGUGGAUUCUUCUGGAAAACCAGCACUAAGAAUGGCUAUGCAGACAAGAGAGCAACACAUCCGCAGGGACAAGGCUACCAGCAACAUUUGUACAGCUCAGGCAUUGCUUGCCAACAUGGCUGCUAUGUAUGCUGUCUAUCAUGGACCUGAAGGGCUAAAAACAAUUGCCCACAGGGUUCAUGGUCUUGCUGCGACAUUUGCUGCUGGACUGAAAAAACUUGGUACAGCAGAGGUGCAGGAUCUACCCUUCUUUGACACAGUGAAGGUAAAGGUUGCGGAUUCAUGCAAUUGCUGAUCUGGCUUACAAGAAUGAGAUCAAUUUGAGGAUUGUGGACAAGAAUACUAUUACUGUUUCUUUUGAUGAAACAACAACUUUAGAAGAUGUGGACAAACUGUUUCAAGUCUUUUCAGGUGGCAAGCCUGUGGCAUUCACUGCUGCAACUCUUGCACCUGAGGUUCAGAAUAAAAUCCCUGCUGGGCUUUUAAGGGAGAGCCCAUUCUUGACUCAUCCUAUCUUCAACUCGUAUCACACAGAGCAUGAAUUGCUCAGAUACCUUCAUAGGCUACAAUCAAAGGAUCUUUCAUUGUGCCAUAGUAUGAUUCCUUUGGGAUCUUGUACAAUGAAACUGAACGCUACAACAGAAAUGAUGCCAGUGACUUGGCCUAGCUUUGCAAAUAUCCACCCUUUUGCCCCUACUGGACAGGCUGAGGGUUAUCAGGAAAUGUUCAAGGACUUGGGAGAACUUUUGUGCACAAUAACUGGCUUUGACUCUUUCUCAUUGCAACCUAAUGCUGGUGCUUCUGGCGAGUAUGCAGGGUUGAUGGUUAUUCGUGCAUAUCAUCAGUCAAGAGGAGACCAUCACCGAAAUGUAUGCAUCAUACCUUAUCAGCCCAUGGAACCAACCCUGCAAGUGCUGCAAUGUGUGGCAUGAAAAUUGUUCCUGUUGGAACUGAUUCAAAGGGAAACAUUAACAUUGAAGAGUUACGCAAGGCUGCUGAAGCAAAUAAGGAGAACCUAGCUGCUCUUAUGGUUACAUACCCUUCAACACAUGGUGUUUACGAGGAAGGUAUUGAUGAGAUCUGUAAGAUUAUUCAUGACAACGGUGGUCAAGUUUACAUGGAUGGAGCCAACAUGAAUGCUCAGGUUGGUCUGACCAGUCCAGGUUUUAUUGGUGCUGAUGUGUGCCAUCUGAAUCUUCACAAAACCUUUUGCAUCCCACACGGUGGAGGUGGUCCUGGCAUGGGUCCAAUUGGUGUGAAGAAACACCUGGCACCAUUUCUGCCAUCACAUCCUGUGGUAUUACUACUGGAGGUAUACCCCCCUGGAAAAAGCCAGCCCCUAGGUUCAAUUUCUGCUGCACCCUGGGGCUCUGCACUCAUUUUGCCAAUUUCAUACACAUAUAUUGCUAUGAUGGGUUCUAAAGGACUUACAGAAGCAUCAAAGAUAGCCAUCUUGAAUGCAAACUACAUGGCAAAGCGUCUUGAGAAUUACUACCCUGUUCUUUUCCGUGGUGUCAAUGGAACAGUUGCCCAUGAGUUCAUUAUUGAUUUGAGGGGCUUUAAGCACACUGCUGGAAUAGAGCCUGAAGAUGUUGCUAAACGUCUUAUGGACUAUGGGUUCCAUGGACCAACAAUGUCGUGGCCGGUUCCAGGCACUCUUAUGGUUGAACCAACUGAAAGCGAAAGCAAGGCAGAGUUAGACAGAUUUUGUGAUGCCCUUAUCUCAAUAAGAGAAGAAAUUGCCCAAAUUGAGAAAGGAAAAUUUGAUUUGCACAACAAUGUUCUCAAGUCUGCUCCCCAUCCACCCUCCCUACUCAUGGCUAAUGUAUGGACAAAACCUUACUCACGGGAAUAUGCUGCCUUCCCAGCUCCUUGGCUGAGGACUGCAAAAUUCUGGCCAACGACAGAACGUGUUGAUAAUGUCUAUGGUGAUCGCAACCUUGUGUGCACCCUUCUUCCAGCAGCACAAGUUGUUGAGGAAGAGAAGGCUGCUACUGCUUAAGCCUUACAAGUGCAGCAAAAAACACAAUGCUCCUCCACAAUCAUGAGAGCAAAUCUCCCUCAUCAUUUUGUAUAUAGACAUCCUUAUCCGUAUCCUUCUCUGUAGCUGCUGACUUUCAUCUUCUACCAUAUUGAUGUGCAGCUGCUGUGAUAACACAGUUGUUUCUAAUUUGAAGCAUUCAGAUGUAAUUACCAACUUUUCUGCUUCCUAUCUCUCUACAUGAUCUUAUUUAUUCAACAGCUACACUAAAAGGCUGCAUUCACAUUCAACCAACAGUGACAUUUAAUGUCAUGCUCUUUUACAA